This 466-nucleotide ribosomal RNA is filed under the name uncultured bacterium. RNAcentral's name for it is "partial 16S ribosomal RNA". It matches the Rfam family "Bacterial small subunit ribosomal RNA", at positions 28 to 507 of the family's 1533-position model. The record is from RNAcentral.
GAUGAACGCUGGCGGCGUGCUUAACACAUGCAAGUCGAACGGAAAGGCCCAAGCUUGCUUGGGUGCUCGAGUGGCGAACGGGUGAGUAACACGUGGGUGAUCUGCCCUGCACUUUGGGAUAAGCCUGGGAAACUGGGUCUAAUACCGGAUAGGACCAUCGUUUAGUGUCGGUGGUGGAAAGUUUUUCGGUGUGGGAUGAGCUCGCGGCCUAUCAGCUUGUUGGUGGGGUAAUGGCCUACCAAGGCGUCGACGGGUAGCCGGCCUGAGAGGGUGUACGGCCACAUUGGGACUGAGAUACGGCCCAGACUCCUACGGGAGGCAGCAGUGGGGAAGAUUGCACAAUGGGCGCAAGCCUGAUGCAGCGACGCCGCGUGGGGGAUGACGGCCUUCGGGUUGUAAACGCCUUUCGCCAAGGACGAAGCGUUUUGUGACGGUACUUGGAGAAGAAGCACCGGCUAACUACGUG